UUAACUGGAGGGUUUGAUCCUGGCUCAGGACGAACGCUGGCGGCGUGCCUAACACAUGCAAGUCGCGCGAGAAACCAAGGCUUCGGCCUUGGGAGUAAAGCGGCGCACGGGUGAGUAACGCGUGGGUAACCUACCCUCGGGUCUGGGAUAACCUCUCGAAAGGGGGGCUAAUACCGGAUAAUGUCCCUGGGCGCAAGUCUUGGGGAUUAAAGGAGGCCUCUGCAUGCAAGCUUCUGCCCGAGGAUGGGCCCGCGUCCCAUCAGCUAGUUGGUGAGGUAAUGGCUCACCAAGGCUACGACGGGUAGCUGGCCUGAGAGGGUGGCCAGCCACACUGGCACUGGAACACGGGCCAGACUCCUACGGGAGGCAGCAGUGGGGAAUAUUGGGCAAUGGGGGAAACCCUGACCCAGCGACGCCGCGUGGGUGAAGAAGGCCUUCGGGUCGUAAAGCCCUUUCAGUGGGGAAGAACCCCCUAGAGGCUAAUAACCUCUAGGGCUGACGGUACCCACAGAAGAAGCCACGGCUAACUCCGUGCCAGCAGCCGCGGUAAUACGGAGGUGGCGAGCGUUGUCCGGAAUCACUGGGCGUAAAGCGGGUGUAGGCGGCCGGGUAAGUCGGAUGUGAAAGCCCGGGGCUCAACUCCGGAAGUGCAUCCGAUACUGCUUGGCUUGAGGCCCGGAGAGGGAGGCGGAAUUCCCGGUGUAGGGGUGAAAUCCGUAGAUAUCGGGAGGAACACCGGUGGCGAAGGCGGCCUCCUGGACGGCGCCUGACGCUGAGACCCGAAAGCGUGGGGAGCAAACCGGAUUAGAUACCCGGGUAGUCCACGCCGUAAACGAUGGGUGCUAGGUGUGGGGAGGUAAUCUCUCCGUGCCGUAGCUAACGCAUUAAGCACCCCGCCUGGGGAGUACGGCCGCAAGGCUGAAACUCAAAGGAAUUGACGGGGGCCCGCACAAGCGGUGGAGCACGUGGUUUAAUUCGAUGCAAAGCGAAGAACCUUACCUGGGUUUGACAUCAUCGGGAAUCCCCUGGAAACAGGGGAGUGCCCACCUUCGGGUGGGAGCCCGAUGACAGGUGCUGCAUGGCUGUCGUCAGCUCGUGUCGUGAGAUGUUGGGUUAAGUCCCGCAACGAGCGCAACCCUCGCCCUUAGUUGCCACCGGUUCGGCCGGGCACUCUAAGGGGACUGCCGGGGAUAACCCGGAGGAAGGAGGGGAUGACGUCAAGUCAUCAUGGCCCUUAUGUCCAGGGCUACACACGUGCUACAAUGGCCGGUACAGAGGGUUGCGAACCCGCAAGGGGGAGCUAAUCCCAGAAAGCCGGUCCCAGUUCGGAUCGGGGUCUGCAACUCGACCCCGUGAAGGCGGAAUCGCUAGUAAUCGCGGAUCAGCAUGCCGCGGUGAAUACGUUCCCGGGCCUUGUACACACCGCCCGUCACACCACGGAAGCUGGCUCUACCAGAAGUCGCUCGCCCAACCCGCUUCGGCGGGAGGGAGGCGCCUAAGGUAGGGCUGGUGACUGGGGUGAAGUCGUAACAAGGUAUCCCUACCGGAAGGUGGGGAUGGAUCACCUCCUUUCU
Molecule: ribosomal RNA, 1574 nt
Filed under: Thermosulfuriphilus ammonigenes
Lineage: Bacteria; Pseudomonadati; Thermodesulfobacteriota; Thermodesulfobacteria; Thermodesulfobacteriales; Thermodesulfobacteriaceae
Description: bacterial SSU rRNA
Rfam family: Bacterial small subunit ribosomal RNA
Source: RNAcentral